UAAUAAAGUCUCUCAAUACUUUAUCAUUAACUAAUUGUGAUUAACAUUUUCUCUCUUAGUGAGUGUUGAUUUACUGUUUUUCUUUAUUUAAUUUAUCAUCAAGUUAAUUGUUGGGUGAUAACUUUUUUAAGAAGGCGGAAUUUGAUUAAAUUGUCAACAAAAAGAGUUGAGGAUUCCAAUAUUAACUUCAGUUCACCACAAGUCGUCCAACAAUUAAGAUCAUUUCACCUUAACAAUUAACUAAAUUUACAUCGAAAUUAUUUCAUCUUUUACCUUAAUCAUUUUCUUAAUUAAAUCUUCAACCUUUUUUUGUGGUUAAUUAACUAAUUCCAAUCAAAAUGAUAACUUCAUUUUUCGUAUUGUCUCUUGUGAUUCCAGUUUAUUGGACUAUCUUUAAAUACAUUGAAGCUCGACUAUCUAAAAGUAAAUUCGUUUGAAUCUUUGAUACGACUGAUUGAAAACUCACUGACCAUUGGUUGUGAGUUGAUCUUAAUUUUGUUUGGAUUAAUUAACCAAGGAAUCAACAAUUGACCCUCUAACUAUUAAUCAAACAUGUUAGGACAAUUUAAUUACCACACAAUCAUCAUGAUCAACUUAAUCAUAUCACAUCAACAUCAACAACAACAGUAAUCCAAAGGCUCUUGACCAUCGACAAUUUGGUUACUUGACCAUUUUCAAGGAAUCGCAAUUGUGUUGAUGGAUUUAAUUUUAAAUUGUAAUUGGAUUCUAACCGAUUGCUUAUUAUUAGAAUGGAUAAUUAGAUUGUUUUAUCCGGUGUAGAUUUUAAUUGGAAAGAAAAAAGUUAAUUGUCUCUAAUUCUUUCAACUUUAGACUUGAAAGAUCAAUGAGAUUUAAUUAUUUCCUAAACCUUUAUAAUUGUUGCUUAAUCAAUGAUCUGACUUGAUCUCACCCUUGGCAAUCAAUUCUGAUAACAAUUAACUAAUUACUGAUGUUGUGUUGAUGAUGAAUCUUUCCUUUAAUUACUUUCCCUUUAUUAUUUAUUGUUAAUCUUAUUCUUCCCUUUGAAUUGUAAUCAACUUUUUUUUAGAAAAUUUAUCAUUAAUCUCUGUUGGAUAAUUAACCAAAUCACUGUGAUUAAGAUAAUUAAUUUACUCAAUAAUCAAUGUGUUCAUCGAUCAAUAGUCCUGUUCAUUUAAUCCAAACAAAAUUAACUAAUAAAAUGACGAAUUGAUUGAAACUAUUAUAAACAAA
This is a long non-coding RNA of Panonychus citri (citrus red mite), 1212 nucleotides long. RefSeq lists it as uncharacterized. The record is from RefSeq and is a predicted model, not a curated record. NCBI's taxonomy places the organism in Eukaryota, Metazoa, Arthropoda, Arachnida, Trombidiformes, Tetranychidae. The transcript is spliced from 2 exons.